AAGAAAGUGAUCAUACACCAACCUUCCAGAUCGAUCACCAUUCUCGUGAUGAUCCUAUGGUCAGGAGCUGUUUAUGAGUUAGUUAUGUAAAUUGAUGCCUUAAAUUUUUAACUCUUGAAAAUAUGAAUUAACAUUCCUACUAACUCAAAGAAUGUAUCACAGACAUAAUGUACAUAAUGUGAUAGCAGAAUAACCAUUUUAUUCAUUUAUAGUCAAAAUUAUAAAUUUGCCCUUAGAUUUGUAUAGGAUUGUGUCAGCCAAUAU
This 264-nucleotide long non-coding RNA is filed under the name Elaeis guineensis (African oil palm). RNAcentral describes it as "long non-coding RNA (EGUI_LNC040697)". The record is from RNAcentral. Lineage: Eukaryota; Viridiplantae; Streptophyta; Magnoliopsida; Arecales; Arecaceae.